This 67-nucleotide transfer RNA is filed under the name Ixodes ovatus. Its description in RNAcentral is "tRNA-Asp". The record is from RNAcentral. Lineage: Eukaryota; Metazoa; Arthropoda; Arachnida; Ixodida; Ixodidae.
AAAAACUAGUUAAAUCUAAAUAACAAAAGAAUGUCAUUCUUUAAUUACCUAUCAAAAAGUGUUUUUU